AUCAAAGCCGCCAUGGCCGUGCGUAAGUGCACCUUUGUGAUUUAAGCCAACACGCUCGUGUCCGCCGGCCGAGACAGAAAUAGCCAGAAGCAAGCAUAUUAUUGUAUUUUGCUUGCCGUUACUACUGCAACGAUGCCGUUCAUAAAGGAUCAGCCUAUUUUAUAUGCACGAAUCUGGCCAGGGCCACAAUGCAUUCACUCUACGCCAGCGUCGACAGUUUGCCUCAGACGACCGGCGGCCCUUCGGCGAGGGAACGAUAUGACAUUCUUCGUGCUCGUGCAUCUUCAGUUAAUUGAUGGUGGAUCAAACCGUGAAAAUCUAAUUAUCAAGUUGAAGAUUUGGCUUAUGUGAAGACAGCCGCUACCAUUUGAGCAGAUUAAUCCGAAUUCACUGGAUUUAGCCAAAUUCGUUCUACAGAUUAUUUUCGAUUGUGAUGUAUGUGAAUCAGCGAAUUAUCACACACGAUCCAGAUACCGGAACGAGUAAAAAAUUCAAUUGACUAUAGAAUGACGGACGGACUUCGAAUGGAAGAAAAUAAUAGAUCAUAUGUAUGCAAAAAUACUUGAUUGAAAUUCAGAAAUAUAGCUGUUCAGGAACAGAUUUUUGUACAGACAAUUUCAGCACAAAUUAAAUUUUUCCAUAACAAAUCCGAAAACUAUCCUAUUUGUGGGACUCUCCAGGUGUGAUUCUAGAAAAAAAAAACCUAAUUUACUCAUUUUUUCUCGUUUUUUUUUCCUGCAAGAUUUUUCGUUUGUUAUGAUUAAUUAAUCAAAAACGCAGUUCAAUCCUAGUUGAAGCGAAAUCGUUUAUGACAAGCACCAUAGUGAAGACUACCUAACUGUCCAAAUAAAUAAC
Varroa destructor (honeybee mite) is the source of this 855-nucleotide long non-coding RNA. The record is from RefSeq and is a predicted model, not a curated record. NCBI's taxonomy places the organism in Eukaryota, Metazoa, Arthropoda, Arachnida, Mesostigmata, Varroidae.